RNAcentral lists this transfer RNA (74 nucleotides) under Planctomycetes bacterium RIFOXYB12_FULL_42_10. RNAcentral describes it as "tRNA-Gln". It matches the Rfam family "tRNA". From Rfam's summary of the family: Transfer RNA (tRNA) molecules are approximately 80 nucleotides in length. Their secondary structure includes four short double-helical elements and three loops (D, anti-codon, and T loops). Further hydrogen bonds mediate the characteristic L-shaped molecular structure. tRNAs have two regions of fundamental functional importance: the anti-codon, which is responsible for specific mRNA codon recognition, and the 3' end, to which the tRNAs corresponding amino acid is attached (by aminoacyl-tRNA synthetases). tRNAs cope with the degeneracy of the genetic code in two manners: having more than one tRNA (with a specific anti-codon) for a particular amino acid; and 'wobble' base-pairing, i.e. permitting non-standard base-pairing at the 3rd anti-codon position. The record is from RNAcentral. Lineage: Bacteria; Pseudomonadati; Planctomycetota. RNAcentral also lists the same sequence under 6 other names.
UGGGGAAUAGUGUAACGGUAGCACAAAUGAUUCUGGAUCAUUUCGUCUAGGUUCGAAUCCUAGUUCCCCAGCCA